This 79-nucleotide transfer RNA is filed under the name Oldenlandia corymbosa var. corymbosa. RNAcentral describes it as "tRNA-Phe". It matches the Rfam family "tRNA". From Rfam's summary of the family: Transfer RNA (tRNA) molecules are approximately 80 nucleotides in length. Their secondary structure includes four short double-helical elements and three loops (D, anti-codon, and T loops). Lineage: Eukaryota; Viridiplantae; Streptophyta; Magnoliopsida; Gentianales; Rubiaceae. The record is from RNAcentral.
UUCAGGUAGCUCAGCUGGUUAGAGCAAAGGACUGAAAAUCCUUGUGUCAGUGGUUCGAAUCCACUUCUAAGCGGGCGAA